AUGAUGUGGUUUAAUUCGAUGCAACGCGAAAACCUUACCCACCUUUGACAUGUACGGAAGUUGCCAGAGAUGGCUUCGUGCUCGAAAGAGAGCCGUAACACAGGUGCUGCAUGGCUGUCGUCAGCUCGUGUCGUGAGAUGUUGGGUUAAGUCCCGCAACGAGCGCAACCCUUGUCAUUAGUUGCUACGAAAGGGCACUCUAAUGAGACUGCCGGUGACAAACCGGAGGAAGGUGGGGAUGACGUCAAGUCCUCAUGGCCCUUAUAGGUGGGGCUACACACGUCAUACAAUGGCUGGUACAAAGGGUUGCCAACCCGCGAGGGGGAGCCAAUCCCAUAAAGCCAGUCGUAGUCCGGAUCGCAGUCUGCAACUCGACUGCGUGAAGUCGGAAUCGCUAGUAAUCGUGGAUCAGCAUGUCACGGUGAAUACGUUCCCGGGUCUU
RNAcentral lists this ribosomal RNA (441 nucleotides) under uncultured Curvibacter sp. Its description in RNAcentral is "bacterial SSU rRNA". It matches the Rfam family "Bacterial small subunit ribosomal RNA", at positions 936 to 1382 of the family's 1533-position model. The record is from RNAcentral. Lineage: Bacteria; Pseudomonadati; Pseudomonadota; Betaproteobacteria; Burkholderiales; Comamonadaceae.